AUGAAUGCUGGCGGCGUGCCUAACACAUGCAAGUCGAGCGGCAGCGAGGGGUGCUUGCACCCUGUCGGCGAGCGGCGAACGGCUGAGUAACGCGUAGGAAUUUGCCCCAAAGUGAGGAAUAACUGCCCGAAAGGGUAGCUAAUGCCGCAUAUGGUCUUCGGAUUAAAGGAUUUAUCCGCUUUGGGAGAAGCCUGCGUUGGAUUAGGUUGUUGGUAGGGUAAUGGCCUACCAAGCCGACGAUCCAUAGCUGGUCUGAGAGGAUGAUCAGCCAGACUGGAACUGAGACACGGUCCAGACUCCUACGGGAGGCAGCAGUGAGGAAUCUUCCACAAUGGGCGAAAGCCUGAUGGAGCAACGCCGCGUGAAGGAUGAAGGCCUUCGGGUUGUAAACUUCUUUUAUGAGUGAAGAAUAUGACGGUAACUCGUGAAUAAGCACCGGCUAACUACGUG
This 450-nucleotide ribosomal RNA is filed under the name uncultured bacterium. Its description in RNAcentral is "partial 16S ribosomal RNA". It matches the Rfam family "Bacterial small subunit ribosomal RNA", at positions 29 to 507 of the family's 1533-position model. The record is from RNAcentral.